Molecule: non-coding RNA, 1251 nt
Organism: Pimephales promelas (fathead minnow)
Lineage: Eukaryota; Metazoa; Chordata; Actinopteri; Cypriniformes; Leuciscidae
Source: RefSeq, a predicted model, not a curated record
AGCCUAAAUUCAAUCUGUUUUUAUAUAAACUGAUCGAUUAUCUUCAGAAAAUUGUACUAAACCGCUCAAUUCAUAUGGAUUGGUUUUACAAUCUCUUUAUAAACUUUUUGAGGCUUCAAAGCGUCAGUUACGUAGCUGUCAAUGGGGGGACAGAACGCUCUCAGAUUUCAUUAAAAUAUCUUCAUUUAUGAUCCGAAGAAGAAUGAAAGUCGAACGACAUGAGGACAGACUACAUGCAUUACUGUGAGAGCAUGGACAAAAACACAUGACAGAUCCCGAGCAGUAGAGGGCAGCAUCUCUCCUUGAAAGAACAUGAACGGGCCUUCCAAAUCCAGAAAAUGACGUUCAUCGCGAUUUAUUUCUCCAUUGGCAUUGACCUCUGGAGGAUCUUUAUCCAUUUGCAUAUACAUGCACAACAAAGCCUGUAGAUGUUCCAUACUCGACUUUGACUUUGGUGAGAAGAACCAUAUGCAGAAGAUCGCCGGGACUGGAGCCCUGCAGCUGGAUUUGGCUUACAGAAUGAGAGGAGUGUGUGUUGGGAUGAGAAGAUGGAGAGACAAGUGCACAGGGGUUUUCUGGGGUGAUGGCCACUCGACAGGUGGGACACUGACUGCUCUUCUCCAGCCAAACUUUGAUACAGUUGGAGCAGAACACAUGGUUGUUGCAACAAAUGACCGGCUGACGCACCUUUGAGGUGUAGAUAAGAGCAGACCAAAAGAACCACCUCCCCAUUUUGUCUCUCCUGUCAGUGGGAUCAGCAUCUCAGAAAUACACACAAAAAACGCUUGCUACUCACUUCAUCGUUCGUAAGUGGAACAAGAGCUGUGUCGACAAGAGAUGUCCAUUUCACCACAAGUCUCCAGCGGAAUGAUUCAUCCAGAGCAGUUGGAUGACACAUAAGGCUGCAAAAAGGCCCAUUCGGAGAUGACGUUGUUCAUAGAGAGGGAGAGGCUAAAGAAGCCGUCCACCCGGCCCGGCUCGAGCAGUCGUCUCUCGCCCCGGCGUGGAGCUCCUCUUUACCCUGCUCCUCUGUCCCUGAUUUACUCCCUGCGCCGCUCCGUCCCGCCGGAGCCAAAUGAGAUCCGCCGAGAGGUCCUGACCUUCCCCUCUAGGUAGCAGCUCCUCACUGGAGGUUCUUCAGUGAUGAUUGACAGGAAUUGAUCUUCUCAAGGUUCAGCUCAUCAACUGAAUGACAGCCACAGAUCAAAUAUGAUACGAAUGGGAAGGUAAUAUUGUCAUUUUUUUAACACU